Molecule: ribosomal RNA, 1170 nt
Filed under: Saccharomyces cerevisiae (brewer's yeast)
Lineage: Eukaryota; Fungi; Ascomycota; Saccharomycetes; Saccharomycetales; Saccharomycetaceae
Source: RNAcentral
AUGAAAUUAAAAUUAUUAAAUAUAAUUUUAUCAAUAAUAAAUAAACUUAAUAAUAAUAAUAAUAUUAUUAUUAAUAAUCUAUUAGAUUCAUUAAUAAAUAAGAAAUUAUUAUUAAAGAAUAUAUUAUUAGAUAUAAAUAAUAAAAAAAUAAAUAAUAUAAAAAGAAUAUUAAAUAAUAAUAAUAUAAAUAUUAAUAAUAAAUUACAACAUUUAAAUAAUAUAAAUAAUUGAAAUCUACAAAUUUAUAAUUAUAAUAAAAAUAUAGAAAUUAUAAAUACUAUAAAUGAUAAAUUAAUUAAUAAAUUAUUAUAUAAAAUAAUAACUUUAAAAUUAAAUAAUAUAAAUAUUAAUAAAAUUAUUAUAAGUAAACUUAUUAAUCAACAUAGUUUAAAUAAAUUAAAUAUUAAAUUUUAUUAUUAUAAUAAUGAUAUUAAUAAUAAUAAUAAUAAUAAUAAUAAUAAUAAUAAUUAUUAUAUAAAUAUAAUAAAUAAAUUAAUAAAUAUUAUAAAUAAUAAUAUAAAUAAUAAUUUAUGUAAUAUUUUAAGUUAUUAUUAUAAUAAAAAAGUAACUAUUGAACCUAUUAAAUUAUCAUAUAUUUAUUUAAAUAGUGAUAUUUUUAGUAAAUAUAUUAGUUUAAAUGAUAUAGAUAAAUAUAAUAAUGGUAUCUUAACUAAUUAUCAACGUAUAUUAAAUAAUAUUAUGCCUAAAUUAAAUGAUCAUAAUAUUUCUAUAAAUUAUAUUAAUAAUAUUAAUAAUAUUAAUAAUAAUAAAUAUAAUAAUAUAAUUAAUUUAUUAAAUAAUAAUAAUAAUAAUAAUAAUUAUAAUAUUAAUAAUAAUAAUAAUUAUAAUAAUAAUAAUAAUAAUUAUAUUGGUAAUAUUAAUAAUAUUUAUAAUAAUAUAACUAUUGAUAAUAUUCCUAUAGAUAUUUUAAUAUAUAAAUAUUUAGUUGGUUGAUCUAUUAAAUUUAAAGGUAGAUUAAGUAAUAAUAAUGGUAGAACUAGUACACUUAAUUUAUUAAAUGGUACUUUUAAUAAUAAAAAAUAUUUAUGAAGUAAUAUUAAUAAUAAUUAUAAAUUAAAUUAUAUCCCUUCUAAUCAUAAUUUAUAUAAUAAUUCUAAUAUUAAUAAAAAUGGUAAAUAUAAUAUUAAAGUUAAAUUAAACUUUAUUUAA